RNAcentral lists this unclassified non-coding RNA (326 nucleotides) under Hevea brasiliensis (rubber tree). Lineage: Eukaryota; Viridiplantae; Streptophyta; Magnoliopsida; Malpighiales; Euphorbiaceae. The record is from RNAcentral.
AUGUUAAGGAAAAGUAUGAGAUGGAUUCCAUUUAUGGCUGAACAUCAAGUGGAAUGGUGAUCUUAAAGGAACAAAAAUUGGAAAUUUGGAGAAAACAAAGAAAAAGAGUUAGCUCUUUGUCAAUUAAUAGUUCAUACUUUCAUGUGUCUUUUCUCAAAUGGAAGUUCAAACCUAGUCUUUUCUCACUACCUAUGAUUUCAUUCAUUGGCAACCAGGGGCAGUUGACAUCUGCUGCAAUUCUCCAAUAUGAUCAUAUAGAAGAGGAAAAAGAAGAAGAAAGGAAAGAAGAAAGAAAGAAUUUUUAGUUCAAAGUGCCAGCUAAGGAU